GUCCCUUUUAAGUAUAUUUAUACAAAUACCACUCUUGUGAUAUUGUGAUAUCUUCACCAGAGUCCUUCAUUUAUGAAAACCAAGCUUUAAAUUAUCAAAAGGAAGGAAAAACUGAUGUCUCCAACAUCACUGGCAUGGACUCUUAUCUGGUGCCUUACAUGGGAUUUAAUUUCACCAGUAACUUCACAACAGAAUUGCUGGACCGAGAAAAGUCUCUGAAAGAAUGAUCCUGACUGAUGAUAUGAAAUACUUGCCUGGCCCCAGACCUGCAGGGGCUGUGGCUUUGGAAAUACCUGAGUUUGGAAUCUCCCCAUGUUCUUCUCCACCCAGUGUAUUUUCAGAGGCCCAGCCUGAGGAAGAGGUUGCUGAAACUGAGAGUGAAUCCCCCAAUACAGAAUCACUACAUCAAAUCCCAAGCACUGAACAGCAGCAAAUCAGUGAAGAAGCAGACGAGGAGAGAACAAACCUUCUAACAGAGGGAGAUUUCUGUUUGGACAAAAGUCAAACUUUACAGAUGAAGAGAAAAACAGACAGUCCUCCCAGAAAUGAGUCACCUUACAGGUUCUUGUUGUCUCUGUUCUGAAGGUUCUGAAAAAAGGAAGAAAAAAGCUUCAAAGAGUGACAGAGUUCCAUCUGGCAAAGAAAAGGUAUUCUCCAUCACCAUAAAUGCUACAGUUGGUAUUAGUGGGGC
Molecule: long non-coding RNA, 691 nt
Filed under: Gopherus agassizii (Agassiz's desert tortoise)
Lineage: Eukaryota; Metazoa; Chordata; Testudines; Testudinidae
Description: lncRNA (ENSGAGG00000012862.1)
Source: RNAcentral